Molecule: ribosomal RNA, 163 nt
Filed under: uncultured bacterium
Lineage: Bacteria
Description: partial 16S ribosomal RNA
Rfam family: Bacterial small subunit ribosomal RNA
Source: RNAcentral
GGAAUCUUCCACAAUGGACGAAAGUCUGAUGGAGCAACGCCGCGUGAGUGAAGAAGGGUUUCGGCUCAUAAAACUCUGUUGUUAAAGAAGAACAUAUCUGAGAGUAACUGUUCAGGUAUUGACGGUAUUUAACCAGAAAGCCACGGCUAACUACGGGAGCCAG